AGAGAGGCAGGACCAAAAUUGAGGCGAAUCCGGGAACCUGCCAAUGGGUCUCCGGAUGCGUUCUCUGAAACUGGAGGAUAUCGGGAGGAAAGGCUCUCCGAUGCGGAGGUAAUGCGGAAACUCUUGGCAUGGUUGGCUGUAGGUACCUGAUACGGGAGGAGCGGGAGUCAAAUAGGAUACGCCGACUUUUAAUUCGAGGAACCCUUUUCUGAAACACUGCCACAAUGAAGGACAUCAGGAGUCAUGCUCAGAGAUGUCAAGAAAAGAUACAUGGGUCUUGGAAGAUAAAUACUCAAAAUAUGCAGGGGAAGGAAUAAAAUUGAAGGGUGUUUUUCUUAGACAACAUCAUUUGUCAUAUUUAUUUGAUCAAGAAGUUGAAGAUUUAUGUAAUAAGGAUCUAGUUUGAAGCACUAAGAAGAAUAAGACAUCAGUUUG
Long non-coding RNA from Cercocebus atys (sooty mangabey), 435 nucleotides. RefSeq lists it as uncharacterized. The record is from RefSeq and is a predicted model, not a curated record. NCBI's taxonomy places the organism in Eukaryota, Metazoa, Chordata, Mammalia, Primates, Cercopithecidae. The transcript has 5 exons.